Long non-coding RNA from Brassica napus (rape), 4234 nucleotides. RefSeq lists it as uncharacterized. The record is from RefSeq and is a predicted model, not a curated record. The transcript is spliced from 6 exons. NCBI's taxonomy places the organism in Eukaryota, Viridiplantae, Streptophyta, Magnoliopsida, Brassicales, Brassicaceae.
AAAAUUGUAUUUUUGACAAUUUCCCAAGAUUUUAGCUGAAACUUAAAAAUAUUAACUAUUCAUCACUUUUUGUUAAUCUAUACUAUAUUAAAAGGGUUAUAUGAGCAUCAGAGAGGAUGUCCACGUCAGACAAUAAAAUCAGCCAAUAGGAAAACAGCUCUCCGCCACGUCAGAUAGGCAAUGACAAAUCUAACUUUUUCCAAAAUGAAUCCCGGCCCCUUUCUCUUCGUCUUCUCCGUCUCUCGACAUUCCUAGAUCCAGAUUUUGUUUCUCCUUUUCUUUUCUCAUUCUCUUCCUUUACUUCAUAGUUGAUAGUACUUUCUGAUUUGUGUUGAGAGUAAGCAACGCGGCAAGAGAUGUGGAGGUGAAGUGUGCCAUGGAAGACGACGGUGGCUUAAGAUCGUUGAGGUGUAGCCGAGCACAGCGACGUCGGACCUGAAGAUAGUGGACCAUAGCCAUCUAUCCCACCGACCACCGUCAUCUCUAUCUCUCUCUUAAUUCAACGGCGGAGGAGGAUAAGUAUUAAAUCCCGGUAUGAAAGAUACUACAGGUAUGAAAGAUUGUCCGUUUUAUCUAAAAACUGUUCGGUUCGGUUAUGGUAGACAUGGCAUUUACAAUCAACUGUCCUACUCAUUCCCCACCGAUUGUAAGGCCAGAACUUUUGAUUGGAGAUUUGAUAAGAGAACUCAGAAGCUACACGACAGAAAGUCAAGAUAUAUGCCAGUGAAUAUGUUAACUAAACUGAAUGUGAUUUUAUGUUUAUACUUUCUUGAAUUCAUUUUAGGUUUGGUUUAACGUUGUCUUCGUAUUUUGAUUCUCAGGCUAGAACAAUGGAUUUGAGGGCGAGCAGAUCCACAUGGAUAUCAAGAUCCAAAUCAGAAGCCAAAGAUUCAGGCGAAUAAAGAUAAGUAGAGAUGUGAGAGACGUGACCAACAGCUUCUCGAACAAAAUCCAAAAAGACCACAUAAUUUCGCAGAGGAGAAGCUACAGUAGAGAAGAUAUGUGGUCAGAUCUCUGUUGGUCGAAACAUUGGUACCACUAGAGUUCUGAGAUCUGGUUGCAAGAUUAACUUCCUUAGGAGGAGGAGGCAGAGAUUAGCCUCACUCGAGAAGAAUAGAAAGAAGCUUGCUCCUGCCCCCAACAAACCGGACACGUUUUUGAUUGCUCCUGGAGUUAGCGUCCUGGCCGGGACGCUUUCUGCUGCUGAAAUUGCCUCUGUCAUUAACAAGUAUGGAUCUCCUCGCCCUAGAAUGGAAAGCAGAUGGAGGAGAACGGAAGUCUUUGCAGUAGCCAAAUGGUCGAGCGCUCCUCAAAAAUAUUUUAGAGAUGCAGUGAUCGAGAUGAUCAUAGAGAAUGGUAUCAACCACCAGGAAGAACUCAAAGAGGUUCUCAUUUGUUAUCUCAGAUUCAACACCGACGAAUAUCAUGUCGACAUGAACAUCAAUAUGUUUCAGCAGAUGUUUAAGACAUGGGAAAAAAUUAUGGAGGAAAGACUAAGGGGGAAACAAAAUGAUACUUAUAGCAAACUUGGGAGUGAAGAAACUGGUGUCUCAGUGGAAAAGGUGAAAGCGAAGUGGUGGGGGAAGUUAAGGAGUACUAGGUAUUAAUGGCCUGUUUCUUUUCUCGAGAUGCAGAUCUUUUUUUCAAAACACGUUUAGUGUCAUUUGAGGUUUUGGUUUUGUUGCUGAGAAGGUUCCAUGGCAUUAAAAUUGAGUUAUGUUUCUCAUGGCCAUCCAAAUCGUAUAUAAAAUUUAGUAAAUAAUUUUUAUUAAAUUUGCAUCUGUGAUGUCAGAGGAUACAAAAACAUGUGGCUGGCCAGCGUUGUGGAUUAUUUUUGUUAUCUGGAAAAAAAGGACAUGGAUUUUCAAAUCAGAAAUCAGUUUUUUAAGACUUUAACCAUCAUAUUUUACAACUAAAUUUGAAUUUUUAUUUUUCCAGAAAUUCCAAAAUUUUAUGUAUAAGGCCACAUAAACUCAAGAAUACACGAUUCAUUAAAUAAUUACUUUUACGUUCAAAUAAAAUAAGUUGUUUUAGUGAAUAUUUUAUAUUGACAUUUUCCUCUUUUCUGCUAUAUGACAUAUUCAUGUUAAACACAACAACAUUAGGUGGUUAGUGAAAUUCAACAAUCAGAAAAAGAUUUUCAAUAAACAAGUAUCAUCAGAUAAAAUUUAAAUUUUAUAGUUGAUUUGGUUACGAAGAUAGAAAAACCCUUCAAAAACAUAUUUCUAUGAAAGAUUUUGUUCAUGCAAAAUGGUCAAUGCUACAUAUAUUACAUUAUUUACAUUUUAAAUGUAUAAAAUAUAUAUCAAAAUAAUUUAUAUAAAUGGCUUGCAAGUAUUAAAAAUGAGAAAAUAAAAGAUUCCAAUUAGCCGAAAUAAAGCAGUACUAAAUACAUAUGAAGAACUCGACCAUAAAACAGUUUUACCUUUUCAAUUUGUAAAUAGUAAAAAAAAUUCUCAAAACAAAAAAUAUAUAAUCUCAUAUUUUUAUAAUUAUAUUUUCUAAAUCUACUUAAACUUAUACAUACAUAUACAACUAAUUGGUUGGCUAGCUAUACGCUAAAUGUCCUCUAACUGUUAAUAAUGAUUAGAAUGUACCAAAAUUUGAAUAUUUAAAUAGAAAUCUAAAGAGAACAAUAAAUAAACUAAUUAUUGGAAAACUAAACAAAUCCAUAAAAAUAAAGAUAAUAAACUAGGGUCAGUGGCUACAGUCAAUAGUUUAAAUCAAGUGGCUAUAGUCAAUAGUUUAAAUCUCAAAUUUUUAUUUUGCCAUGAAAAACAAAUUAUUUAACUAAUUUAUUAAUAAUAAAUUAGGACUUUGGACAAAAAUUAAGAAAAAAUAAUUAAAUAGCAAUUACUAUUUAUAAAAGAAAGUUUUGGCUAUUAAAAAAAAAUUAAAUCUAAAAAAUUACAUUGCGAAGAUUUUCUUUAAUUGUUACCUCCAGUCUAUUAUGUAUAUAUUAUUAGAUUUCCAUCUUUAUUUAUAAUAUUAUACCAAUUAAAUUUGUGUAAAGGUCAAUUUAGGUUAGAUCAUUACCAAUUGAUGCAUUUGGCUUCUCGCUAUACUACCUCCAUCAUAAACUGCUUAAUAUUUAACUUUAAGAGUCUAAAAUAAUAAUCGAAGUAUGUUUAUACUCUAACAUACAUACGAUAUUGCAAGGUUGUGUAUUUUAUACACAAUACUAAUGACAAAUAUAUCUGCAUGUGUAAUGCACAUAAUCAAUCCAAAGUACUUUAUGUAGUAUCUAAGCAUGAAAUCGUUUAUAAUGAAAUCUUCCACAGGUUUCACAGUAUUAUAAUAAACACUUAUUUACAAAAUAAUAAAUACCAAACACAUUUUAAAAUUGAACUAUCAUAUUAAAACAAAUAAAUGAUAUAAUAUAGCACAUAAUAAAAGUACUCUAUUUUAAACUUUUCUAUGUUUAAGUUAUACUCCCUCUAUUUCAAAAUUAUCAAUGUUUUGGAUAACAAAAAAAGUUUUAAAAGAUAUUUAUUUUUUUACAUUCUCAAUGUAUUUUUACUAGGUUAUAAUUGUAAAUUGUAAAUUGUAAACUUCGAAAUAAGCAAAUUGUGAUUACUGAAUUUUGACCGGUUAAAAAUUAUAGAAAAUAGUUAAUCACAAAGAAUAAUAUAUUUAUAAUCAAUAUAUAAGAUAAGUUUUUAUAUGUAUGAAAAUUUAAAACUUACAUCUUUUAAACAUUAAUCUAUAAACAAACAAACCGCGCGUAGCGCGGUAAAAUCUCUAGUUUUAAUAAUAAAUAAACAACAAAGAGUGAGAGGUUGUUCUGUGGAUUUUGUUUUUGGUUUUACUUUAGAAAAUAAUCUGUGAAUUGUUUUUUUUUGCUUUAAUUGUUUUGUUAUAUAUUUAUUUUCAAAGCACUGAAUUAAAUCUUUAGAAAAGUUGAUUUUGAAAACUAAUAUAUUAUUUUUUAAAAAAAUUAUACUGUAUCUUUAAUUUUAAAAGCUAAAUUAUGAUUGUUUAAAAAAAAAACAGAUUUAUAGAAAAAGUGAAUGUCUAAAACAUUUACCACCAUUACCAAUCAAUCUCUGAGUUUAUUCAUUUCAAAUUCGUUGGACAACAUAAUAAAUUAAUUUGCGUAUUAUUACUUAUAUUUUUGGUAGUCAAUUUUGAAAUAAUAUAUAUACAUGCUUUUAUAAAAAAUAAACAAGCUAAAAUUAAUUAAUAAUUAUAAGAAGAAAUUUACCCGGGCAUAGCCCGGGCAAAGACCCUAGUA